CGCGGCCGGGGCGGAGACUUCGGGACCGGCUGGCGGGCGGCGCCGGGAGCGCGGGGGCGGCGGGCCCGGGACGAGCAUGUAGCGGCUGCUGGCGGCGGGGCUCCCGGGGCGGGCCGGGCGGGCCGCGGGAGCCGCACGCGGCGAUAUGGAAGAGGAGGGCAAGAAGGGCAAGAAGACUUUUUAGCACUUUCUCCAGAGUAAUACUGAGCUCAGUGUUUUGCAUGGAGAACGCAGCUAGAAGCCUGGAAUUGUCUCGCCAUUUAAACGAGUAUUCCUAAAAGGUGAAAAGAGUAGAGAUAAGAAAGCCCAUGAGAAGGUGACAGAGAGGCGCCCUCUGCACACUGUGGUGUUGUCAUUGCCUGAGCGCGUCGAGCCAGACAGACUGCUGAGCGACUAUAUUGAGAAGGAGGUAAAGUAUUUAGGUCAGUUAACGUCCAUACCAGGAUACCUGAAUCCCUCCAGUAGGACUGAAAUCCUGCAUUUCAUAGACAAUGCAAAGAGAGCCCACCAGCUUCCGGGACACUUGACUCAGGAGCAUGAUGCUGUGCUCAGCCUGUCUGCCUACAACGUCAAGCUGGCCUGGAGGGACGGGGAGGAUAUCAUCCUCAGGGUGCCCAUCCAUGACAUCGCCGCCGUCUCCUAUGUUCGGGAUGACGCUGCGCACCUGGUGGUCCUGAAGACAGGUCGCUGCGGAGGAGCUUUGCUGUCUGCUAGGCCAGGUCUUCCAGGUUGUUUACACGGAGUCCACCAUCGACUUUCUGGACAGAGCGAUAUUUGAUGGGGCCUCUACCCCCACCCACCACCUGUCCCUGCAUAGCGAUGACUCUUCUACAAAAGUGGACAUUAAGGAGACCUACGAGGUAGAAGCCAGCACUUUCUGCUUCCCUGAAUCCGUGGAUGUGGGUGGUGCGUCACCCCACGGCAAGACCAUCAGUGA
This 937-nucleotide small RNA is filed under the name Pongo abelii (Sumatran orangutan). Its description in RNAcentral is "processed transcript". Lineage: Eukaryota; Metazoa; Chordata; Mammalia; Primates; Hominidae. The record is from RNAcentral.